GAUGAACGCUGGCGGCGUGCUUAACACAUGCAAGUCGAACGAAGCACUCUACUUGAUUUCCUUCGGGAAUGAUUGUUUUGUGACUGAGUGGCGGACGGGUGAGUAACGCGUGGGUAACCUGCCUCAUACAGGGGGAUAACAGUUGGAAACGACUGCUAAUACCGCAUAAGCGCACAGCUUCGCAUGAAGUGGUGUGAAAAACUCCGGUGGUAUGGGAUGGACCCGCGUUGGAUUAGCUUGUUGGUGGGGUAACGGCCCACCAAGGCGACGAUCCAUAGCCGACCUGAGAGGGUGACCGGCCACAUUGGGACUGAGACACGGCCCAAACUCCUACGGGAGGCAGCAGUGGGGAAUAUUGCACAAUGGGCGAAAGCCUGAUGCAGCGACGCCGCGUGAAUGAAGAAGUAUUUCGGUAUGUAAAGUUCUAUCAGCAGGGAAGAAGAAUGACGGUACCUGACUAAGAAGCACCGGCUAAAUACGUGCCAGC
Molecule: ribosomal RNA, 487 nt
Filed under: uncultured bacterium
Lineage: Bacteria
Description: bacterial SSU rRNA
Rfam family: Bacterial small subunit ribosomal RNA
Source: RNAcentral